AAGUCGUAACAAGGUUUCCGUAGGUGCCGCAAGGUUUGCCUCCGGGGAUCUCCCGAGCGACUCUAAACAAUCGGGCAGUCGCCCGCUCCGGCGGGUGGCGACGCAGCUACUGUGGCCUGGAAGCUUGCCCGGACCUUGAGUUCCGGGCGGCAACCAGCAGCUCCCGCGUGGGAGUCCACAGAUCAAAUGCCUGCGGCCGCGUGCUUCGCGGUUUCGAUAUGACCGAGCCCCGCCUGCGCAGGCGAGGGGCAUCUGGAACCUGCGGAAGGAUCAUUACCGAGAGACGGGGUCUAACCGGCCCCAACUCUUCACCCGUGUAUACCAAUCUCUUGUUGCUUUGGCGGGCCGUCGGAGGCUCUCCGCGGGGGGCUUCGGCCCCUCCGUGCCCGCCAGAGGCCCAAUCAAACUCUGUAUCAGUGUCGUCCGAGUACCAAAUAAUAACUAAAACUUUCAACAACGGAUCUCUUGGUUCCA
Molecule: unclassified non-coding RNA, 474 nt
Filed under: air metagenome
Description: partial contains small subunit ribosomal RNA, internal transcribed spacer 1, and 5.8S ribosomal RNA
Source: RNAcentral